Long non-coding RNA from Ruditapes philippinarum (Manila clam), 2096 nucleotides. RefSeq lists it as uncharacterized. The record is from RefSeq and is a predicted model, not a curated record. Lineage: Eukaryota; Metazoa; Mollusca; Bivalvia; Venerida; Veneridae. The transcript is spliced from 2 exons.
UUUUUCUUCUUUUUUUUGUAAAAUGUUUAUUUUUCAACUUUUGAUUAAAACAAAAUGUAAUUGUUAAAGCAGCAUAGCUCUAGAUUCAUGCUAAUUUUGAUGAAAAUAUUGAAAAUGUAUUAAAAAGUAUAAAAUUAUUAAGUGAAUACAGAAAAUAAUUCACACAUUGCAAAUGACAUAUAAAUUUAUGGGGGUCAAAAGGGCCAGGAUAUGCAAAAUAUUUCUUUUCACUGUAUUAAAUCCCGCAGUAGAAAUAAUCAUUAGCAUAUAACAUGUAAAUUAUUUCUUCACUUGUGAAUGUUUUUACUUGUCUAAAAUCUUAUAUUUUUCUCAAGGUUGAUUUUCUUGAAAUAUUUGACUCAUCUGGAGGCGUGCAGCUUUAAUUGUGUUGUAGGGUAAUUUUGACAUGUUUAUUAUCAUUUUGUAUCUAUAUUUACAUAAAUUCAUAUACAUUGACCAACUGAGAUUUUUUUUUCAUAACUUUGAUUCCAUACUUUAUUUUAUCACUUACCAGUGCGGCCUGCACCUUUAACGACUCCGUAAAUGUGGUAUUGCAUGGUCUUGCAUAUAUUUUAAUGUGACAUCAUUUGCUUUAUACAAACAUAGUGUAAAGACGCACUAGGCGCAUCAAUGAAUAAUUAUUCUUUUUACUUUAAACAGUCUUAAUUUUGGGUAUGUGAUAAUUAGAAUAUUAUAUUCGUGUAGUUUCAUUACUGAAUUUACUGAACCAGAGGCUGGCAUAAUAUGAUUUGAUUUAUCUCGUUCAAUAAAUUUAGUAUUGAAGUUACACUCGUUCAAUAUCCUCUAUUUAAUCAAGGACAUAUGUGGGGGAUUUAUUUAUAGUAAAUAUUCUUAAUAUUCUGUCUUUUAAGACUAAAAUGAAAUAACUAGUCACAAAUACAUAAAGUCCUUGAAAUUCAUCCUUAUGGUCUGUCAUCUAUUUCAUCUAAUAUUGUCAUUCAUUUAUAUGUACGAUGUUAAAGGUCAGUGGACAUAAUAUUUACAUAUUAAAUUUUAUCAUGUAGAGCAAACUUAAGUAAGUUUAUUUGACCUAAAACCGGAAGUGACUUACAUUUAUAUCCCUAUGUAUAUUUUUGAUUAUUCAUGAUAACAAUGUUAAUAAUUGUGCUCAAUUAAGUGUAUUGCUUGAAUGAUUUUUAUAUUAUAAUAAUACAACAAGAUAUUUGAUGUUUAGAUAUUAUCUUGGAUAAAAGAUAACAUUUUGAAGUCCUAGAUAUUACUUACUUUUAAGACUUACCAAACUUCUGCUGAUGUUUUUGCCUUGGUUUUAUUCUGGUCAUAUUUUUCUUUAUUUUUAUCCACCCAGUAUAUCCAUAUAAUGCAAGAAUGGUAAAAUUCACCGAGAAAUAUGCAAAAUAAUGUGAAAUCUGUGCAAAUCUAUGAAUGAAAUAAUUAUUGCUGUAAGUAAAUGAAACCAUAUAUUUUAGAGAAAGUAAACUAAACUGAAAGAAAUGAAUUAGAGCAUAUGGCUGUUUUAACAUCAUAUUUCAACCCCUUUUACAAAUUUUACUAGGAAAGUCUUUUUUUUUAUGAUCAUUCAUUUACAAGUCUACCUGGCUACUAAUUUCAACAAUAUAUAUAUUCACGUUUAGACAUUGCAGUUGUCAAUCUCCGGUGCAUUAUUUUCUCAUUUAUAUCAAUCCAAAUCCCAAUUAAUGUAUGGUUAUAUCAUUUAAUAUGUUUCUAUGUUAGUUAUUCCAUGACUUACAAACUUGUUUCUCAAUUGGAAAUAACUUGAUGGGUUAAUUGAAUUUAAUUUCCUAUAUUUCUGUACACAUGUAGAUAUCAGUCAUGAAAUAUUUUAUAAGUUGUUAGAUUUUGUAACUUUAUCCUACAGUGGAUAUCAAGCGAGCAAUGUUUGGCCAUGUAAGGCCUCUUGUUUUUUUGUUUAAUCUUGAUUCAAUUAUGUUCAUGUUAUCUUUGUAAAAAUAUGAUGUGUAAAAUGUAUUAAUCAAAUAAAUGAUACCCAUCAGUAUUUUAUGACAACCAUGAAUGUACAUUAUAUAUACGAGUAUGUAUAAACAAAUAUAAAAUAAAGACAUUUUUGAUUGAAUAGAUUGGAAUUUUGACGCCUG